RNAcentral lists this ribosomal RNA (398 nucleotides) under uncultured bacterium. Its description in RNAcentral is "bacterial SSU rRNA". It matches the Rfam family "Bacterial small subunit ribosomal RNA", at positions 358 to 773 of the family's 1533-position model. The record is from RNAcentral.
GGAAUUUUGGGCAAUGGGCGAAAGCCUGACCCAGCAACGCCGCGUGAAGGAUGAAGUCCCUCGGGAUGUAAACUUCUUAAGCAUAGGAAGAAUAAAUGACGGUAUUAGGCGUAAGCCCCGGCUACCUACGUUCCAGCAGCCGCGGUAAUACGUAGGGAGCAAGCGUUGUUCGGAUUUACUGGGCGUAAAGGGUGCGUAGGCGGCGCGUCAAGUCACUUGUGGAAUCUCCGGGCUUAACUCGGAACGACCAAGUGAUACUGUCGUGCUAGAGUGCGGAAUGGGCAACUGGAAUUCUUGGUGUAGCGGUGAAAUGCGUAGAUAUCAAGAGGAACACCUGAGGCGAAGGCGAGUUGCUGGGCCGACACUGACGCUGAGGCACGAAAGCCAGGGGAGCGAAC